RNAcentral lists this ribosomal RNA (467 nucleotides) under uncultured bacterium. Its description in RNAcentral is "bacterial SSU rRNA". It matches the Rfam family "Bacterial small subunit ribosomal RNA", at positions 44 to 507 of the family's 1533-position model. The record is from RNAcentral.
GUGGAUUAGGCAUGCAAGUCGAACGCGAAAGUUCCCUUCGGGGAGCGAGUAGAGUGGCGAAAGGGUGAGUAAUGCUUGGAUGACCUGCCCUCGAGACGGGGACAACAGUUCGAAAGGACUGCUAAUACCCGAUAGUCCGGUUUAGAUGCGUCUAGAUCGGUAAAUGGUGCUUCCGCUCGAGGAGGGGUUCAAGUCCUAUCAGCUUGUUGGUGAGGUAACGGCUCACCAAGGCGAUGACGGGUAGCCGGACUGAGAGGUUGGCCGGCCACAUGGGAACUGAGACACUGUCCUGACUCCUACGGGAGGCUGCAGUCGAGAGUCUUCUGCAAUGGGCGAAAGCCUGACAGAGCGACGCCGCGUGGAGGAUGAAGGCCCUCGGGUCGUAAACUCCUGUCACAUGUUAUGAAACGCACAGGUCUACCUGUGCGCUGACAAAAGCAUGAGAGGAAGUCACGGCUAACUUCGUG